RNAcentral lists this ribosomal RNA (253 nucleotides) under uncultured bacterium. Its description in RNAcentral is "partial 16S ribosomal RNA". It matches the Rfam family "Bacterial small subunit ribosomal RNA", at positions 524 to 776 of the family's 1533-position model. The record is from RNAcentral.
UACGGGGGGUGCGAGCGUUGUCCGGAAUCACUGGGCGUAAAGGGCGCGUAGGUGGUCUUCUAAGGGUGUGGUGAAAGCCCGGGGCUCAACCCCGGGUCGGCCGUGCCGACUGUAAGACUAGAGUGCUGUAGGGGCAGGCGGAAUUCCGGGUGUAGCGGUGGAAUGCGUAGAGAUCCGGAGGAAGACCGGUGGCGAAGGCGGCCUGCUGGGCAGUUACUGACACUGAGGCGCGACAGCGUGGGGAGCAAACAGG